GUACACAAAAAUGCACAUACUGUGAGCUCGAUGAGUAGGGCGGGACACGUGGUAUCCUGUCUGAAUAUGGGGGGACCAUCCUCCAAGGCUAAAUACUCCUGACUGACCGAUAGUGAACCAGUACCGUGAGGGAAAGGCGAAAAGAACCCCGGCGAGGGGAGUGAAAAAGAACCUGAAACCGUGUACGUACAAGCAGUGGGAGCCUCUUAAUGGGGUGACUGCGUACCUUUUGUAUAAUGGGUCAGCGACUUAUAUUCUGUAGCAAGGUUAACCGAAUAGGGGAGCCGAAGGGAAACCGAGUCUUAACUGGGCGUUAAGUUGCAGGGUAUAGACCCGAAACCCGGUGAUCUAGCCAUGGGCAGGUUGAAGGUUGGGUAACACUAACUGGAGGACCGAACCGACUAAUGUUGAAAAAUUAGCGGAUGACUUGUGGCUGGGGGUGAAAGGCCAAUCAAACCGGGAGAUAGCUGGUUCUCCCCGAAAGCUAUUUAGGUAGCGCCUCGUGAAUUCAUCUCCGGGGGUAGAGCACUGUUUCGGCAAGGGGGUCAUCCCGACUUACCAACCCGAUGCAAACUGCGAAUACCGGAGAAUGUUAUCACGGGAGACACACGGCGGGUGCUAACGUCCGUCGUGAAGAGGGAAACAACCCAGACCGCCAGCUAAGGUCCCAAAG
This 673-nucleotide ribosomal RNA is filed under the name Escherichia coli. RNAcentral's name for it is "partial 23S ribosomal RNA". It matches the Rfam family "Bacterial large subunit ribosomal RNA", at positions 375 to 1052 of the family's 2925-position model. The record is from RNAcentral. Lineage: Bacteria; Pseudomonadati; Pseudomonadota; Gammaproteobacteria; Enterobacterales; Enterobacteriaceae.